CCUACGGGUGGCAGCAGUGAGGAAUAUUGGUCAAUGGGCGAGAGCCUGAACCAGCCAAGUCGCGUGAAGGAUGACGGCCCUACGGGUUGUAAACUUCUUUUGUCAGGGAGCAAUUGAGUCCACGUGUGGGCUUAGCGAGAGUACCUGCAGCGAAAGCGUCGGCAAACUCCGGGCCAGCAGCCGCGGAAAUACGGGGGAUGCGAGCGUUAUCCGGAUUUAUGGGGUUAAAGGGGUGCGUGGGCGGAAUGUAAAGUCAGCGGUAAAAAUUCGGGGCGAAACCCCGUCGUGCCGUUGAAACUGAUGUUCUUGAGUGGGCGAGAAGUAUGCGGAAUGCGUGGUGUAGCGGUGAAAUGCAUAGAUAUCACGCAGAACUCCGAUUGCGAAGGCAGCAUACCGG
This 397-nucleotide ribosomal RNA is filed under the name uncultured bacterium. Its description in RNAcentral is "partial 16S ribosomal RNA". It matches the Rfam family "Bacterial small subunit ribosomal RNA", at positions 338 to 732 of the family's 1533-position model. The record is from RNAcentral.